This is a non-coding RNA of Chrysemys picta bellii (western painted turtle), 612 nucleotides long. Lineage: Eukaryota; Metazoa; Chordata; Testudines; Emydidae. The record is from RefSeq and is a predicted model, not a curated record.
UUGAACACUUUAAUUUAGCAAGCCAAGUCUGAAACUUGUACAAACUUUUCCUUCUGUUUCAUUCCAUGUAGGGUUUGCACCGAGAGCUUCCCUUUGAGCUUCAGGUUUGAAAGGAUGUAAAAAUUCAAAGCAAAGUUCAAUCCAAACACGCAAGCAUCACCUGGUUUUUGCCUCAAAAUCAUGCAAUGCUGCAAGCCUAUGAUAUGAAAUGGGCCCAAAUUGACUCCAAAUUAUUUAGAUCAUUAGUGAACCUCUCUCCAAGAACCUGCUCCAGUAACAAAAGCCAGCACCAAGCAAGUCAUGUGUGAUUUGGUGGUUUCCAUGAAAAGUCUGUGCAUAGCAAUGGGGAAACUGAGGCAGAGUGAUUCCAUGACUUGCCCAAAGCUACAGAGGGAGUCAGUAUCAGAGACAGGAGGAGGAUUUGGGGACUCCUAUCUCCCAAUCCUGCACACAGACCAGCACUGCACUUGGCCGAGUGCUCAGAGGAGGUUGAUGAAUCACUCCUUUUUCGGGGCAGCUGCUUCUUUGGAUCCUCUCCGUUGCUCCGAGGAAUAUCAAUGUUGCUUCUGCUGAGGUGUCUGCUGGCCUCCAGGUUGGAGCCACUGGAACAAU